RNAcentral lists this ribosomal RNA (492 nucleotides) under uncultured bacterium. RNAcentral's name for it is "partial 16S ribosomal RNA". It matches the Rfam family "Bacterial small subunit ribosomal RNA", at positions 29 to 507 of the family's 1533-position model. The record is from RNAcentral.
AGUGAACGCUGGCGGUAGGCCUAACACAUGCAAGUCGAACGGCAGCACAGUAAGAUCUUGCUCUUACGGGUGGCGAGUGGCGGACGGGUGAGGAAUACAUCGGAAUCUACUUUUUCGUGGGUGAUAACGUAGGGAAACUGACGCUAAUACCUCAUACGAACUACGGGUGAAAGCAGAGGAGCUUCGGACCUUGCGCGAUUGAAUGAGCCGAUGUCGGAUUAGCUAGUUGGCGGGGUAAAGGCCCACCAAGGCGACGAUCCGUAGCUGGGCUGAGAGGAUGAUCAGCCACACUGGAACUGAGACACGGUCCAGACUCCUACGGGAGGCAGCAGUGGGGAAUAUUGGACAAUGGGCGCAAGCCUGAUCCAGCCAUACCGCGUGGGUGAAGAAGGCCUUCGGGUUGUAAAGCCCUUUUGUUGGGAAAGAAAAGCAGCAGGUUAAAACCCCGCUGUUCUGACGGUACCCAAAGAAUAAGCAACGGCUAACUUCGUG